UACGUAGGGUGCGAGCGUUAAUCGGAAUUACUGGGCUUAAAGCGUGCGCAGGCGGCUUCGCAAGUCAGGCGUGAAAUCCCCGGGCUUAACCUGGGAAUGGCGUCUGAAACUACGGAGCUGGAGUGUGGCAGAGGGAGGUAGAAUUCCACGUGUAGCGGUGAAAUGCGUAGAUAUGUGGAGGAAUACCGAUGGCGAAGGCAGCCUCCUGGGCCAACACUGACGCUCAUGCACGAAAGCGUGGGGAGCAAACAGG
RNAcentral lists this ribosomal RNA (253 nucleotides) under uncultured bacterium. RNAcentral describes it as "partial 16S ribosomal RNA". It matches the Rfam family "Bacterial small subunit ribosomal RNA", at positions 524 to 776 of the family's 1533-position model. The record is from RNAcentral.